AUUGAACGCUGGCGGCAGGCCUAACACAUGCAAGUCGAACGGUAACAUGAAACCGCUUGCUGUUUCGCUGACGAGUGGCGGACGGGUGAGUAAUGUCUUGGAAACUGCCUGAUGGAGGGGGAUAACUACUGGAAACGGUAGCUCAUACCACCUAACGUCGCAAGAUCAAAGUGGGGGCUCUUCUGGCUUCUGGUCAUCGGAUGUGCGCAGAUGGGGUUAGCUAUGAGGUGGGGUAACGGGUCACCUAGCAGACGAUCCCUAGCUGGUCUGAGGGGAUGACCAGGCACAGGGGAGCUGAGAAGCGGUCCAGAAACCGACGGGAGGCAGCAGUGGGGAAUAUUGCGCAAUGGGCGGAAGCCUAAUGCAGCCAAGCCGCGUGUAUGAAGAAGGCCUUCGGGUUGUAAAGUACUUUCAGCGGGGAGGAAGGGAGUAAAGUUAAUGCCUUUGCUCAUUGACGUUACCCGCAGAAGAAGCACCGGCUAACUCCGUG
Molecule: ribosomal RNA, 490 nt
Filed under: uncultured bacterium
Lineage: Bacteria
Description: partial 16S ribosomal RNA
Rfam family: Bacterial small subunit ribosomal RNA
Source: RNAcentral